AAUAGCUGAUGGAAAAUAAAGAACAAAGGCAAAGCCUGUAAAAUACAUAAUAUAAUUCAGUAUUGUAUUAUUUGUAUUAUAUGUAAAAAUUAGAGUCAAUCAAAAGUGUAGUAAACAUUUUUCGUAAGAUUAUUGACAUACAUGUUACAAAGUAUAUUUUUACAAUCCUUUCUAUAAAGUUACAACCUGAAUAAAAUUUAUUUUUAACGAUUUUAAGGUUUGACAGACAUGCACAAAUUGUUGGCAUUUUUUAAACAAAUAAAAGUAGGAAAUAAAUAAAGUUGUAGGUACUUUCAAGAAAUAUAGUUAACUGUAAGUGCUGUAUUUUAAUAAUCUGUCAAAAAUCAAAAUCAUCAGGAUAAUAUUAGGUAUUGAUUUUCAAACAAGAAUUAGAUUACAGCGAUGGUCAAAAGCAUUUAGAUAUUGCUUUGAAAUCUACAGAUAAGGUAUGGCAGUUUCGUUUUAAAGAACAAGAUGUUAAAGUUUAUGAUAAAAUUGUCAUCAGAAAUACUGUCCACUUGCAGUAUUUACAUAGGAAAAUGUUGGAGGAUGAAGCUCUACCUACUGUCUCAGGUUAAUUUAAAUUCUUUAAGAGUUGCAACAACAGCAACAAGCAAGAAGGGCACCAUUAAAUGAAUAUUAUACACAUAAAGCAACAACAGAAUAAAAAACCAAAAUAUGAACACCAGCAACUAAAACAGGAACCAUUAAAUGAAUAUUAUAUACAGCAAUAACAGCAUCAAAUAAUGGAAAUAAUGGACCUUAUUGCACAAAUCAAAAACAAAAUUUCAGCAUUACUACUUUAUUGGUUAUAUCAAUAAAAGAAA
Molecule: long non-coding RNA, 827 nt
Filed under: Sitophilus oryzae (rice weevil)
Lineage: Eukaryota; Metazoa; Arthropoda; Insecta; Coleoptera; Curculionidae
Description: uncharacterized LOC115881039, transcript variant X2
Source: RNAcentral